UGGCACCACAAGAGUUGCUGCACGUGUACAAAUUGCCACUGAAUGGAUUUCGUCUCUUGCCCGUCAAUCUAGCCGCUGUCGAUGUUUAAUUCUUUGUGCCAUGUGUCUGUGGAAGGUAAUAAAAGCUUUGAGCAGCAGUUGCACAAUAAAGAUUUGUCAUGGGGAUAUCACCUCCGUCUUGCGCGUCUUACUGAGGGGAAGUAGUUCUGCAAGUUCAAAUGGUGUCUCCCUGGAAUGCAAGUAUGUGGCAUAUUUCAGCCUCUUAACAGCACUCCAUUAAUAGUGAUUUGCCUGUUCAUUUGAAGUGCAUGUGUCCCUGGAAGCACUUAGCAGUCUCCUGCGUCUGGUAGGUAGCAGUCUUAGCUUUUUGGCGUUUUUGGCAUUAUGUUUUACCUUUCAUCCUACGUUGACAAAAAUUUCCUUCAAACUGGAGAGAGCCAAGGGUUAUGGAACUGUGUUUCACUGGAGAAUCAUAGGAUCCUAGAGCAGCCCAGGUUUGAAGGGACCUCGAAAGAUCAUCUGGUUCAGCCUUUUGUUGAAAAGGAAUCUUAGAUGAUAUUAUCUAGCACUCUUUCCAAUAGUAUCUUGAAAACCUUCAGCGAUGGGGACUGGUGCAACCUCUGCCCAUUGUUCCUUCUCCAUGUGGCUCUGUGUGAAGAGAAUCUCCAUCCUCUGUAGCUUCCCUUUAAGUACUGCAAUAUUCUGCCGAGGCUCUCCCGAGCCUAGGCAGGUUGCUAACAUUUUGCAAAUAAUUUCUUUGUCUUUGCUAGUCUUCAUGUGGCCUCUCACUGCUUUUGGAUGUUCCUCCACAGCUUUCCAAUUGUGCCAGUUUUCCCAAGUGCAGAUAUCUGAAAACUUAAGACUUUGACUUAUUCCCUGCUUCUGUAAGUAGUCAGUGCUAUUGCUUGCCAGGCUGCAGACUAAACCAACUUAUUGAGAAUGAGUGUUUUAGGUCGCUUAAAGAAUUGCCGGCAAAGGUAUUGACAAAAGCAGGUUUAAUAUAAAAGUGAGUGUCACAAAGUUCUUUGGCAAGGUUUACUCUACUCUACCAGAUGGUUAAAGCACUCAGAGAAAAAACAAACUAAAAUCUAAAAUCGAUCAAUCUAAAACUAAAAUCAACUCAAAAAUUGUCUAUGUUGAGGCUUGGUGGGGGGAUGGAAGGGUGUGGAUAAAAAGGAAUAAGGAAGACCCUCCGGUUGAGUCUUCUCUAUGUUGCUGCUCAUGAAGAGAGGCUCUGUCCUCUUUUUAGCUGCCUUUUGAGAGCUGGAAUAUUGUCAUGAUAUUCCUCCUGAGCCAUGUCUCAUCUAAGGGAGAAAAGACCAAAUUCUUACAGUCUUUCCUCACAUUUUCCAGCCUUUUGAUCAUCUUCGUUGCCCUCCUUGGGAUCUUCUCCCAUCUGUCUGCAUUUUUUGGUUGAAUUCUGGGGACCAGAACUGGACACAGCACUCCAGGUUCUGCUUGCAGGCAUGGCCUCUGUGAGAAGAGACCAGGGUCUGCCCUAUGCUGGACACAGCUAGUUUCUGCCAGCUAGGCAGCAGACUCCUUGAGGGCCGAAUCCGAGCAACUCAGCAAAGCUGGUGGCAUCCCUGUGUAAGCAUAUUUAAGAAAUGGCAAAAUGCUGUCUGGGGCAGGUACUUCCCUGCUGCCCUUGGAUCUGGAAGGUGGCUAUGUCCUGAAGUAACUUUUUCAUCCUAUUUUGUCCCCCCUCCUGUUGAGGAGGGGUGGUGAGAGAACAGCUGUUUGGGCCUCUGACAGCCAGCCAAGAUCUGUCAUCAGCCUAAAAGGCAGGUUCAUCCAUUUAGAAGUAGAUGGGGAUUGGUGGUUUAGAGACUGAUAGUGACCGGGGUAGGAACAGAACUUUUUGGAAGUAGCAAAUUCCAUCAAUAUCUGGGGAUCCACUCACUUUGAGAGGGGGAAGUUUCAAUGGAAAAAGCCUUCUUUCUGAGCAAUAAGAGGUUCUUAUAAGAAAAAUGAUCUAGUCUCCAUUUUUUUCUCACUUGUUAAUACAAGUGGCAAAGAUCUGGAACUCCUGCAUUGAAAGGGAUGUCACUGAGCAGAGACUGUUGGGCGUUCUAUGUGUGUUGGAUACCCAGGACCAGCUAUAAAGAGGUCAUGGCAGAGAUGUGAGGUUGGUCUGGCUAAACAUGAUUAAGACAGGGUCUUACAGAAGGCAAUUCCUUGAGGAUGUGAAGGGUAAAAGGAUAAUAAGUAAGGCUGGCAAUGUUCCCAACUUGUUUGGAAGGAUUGGGACUGAAUGUUGAUUUGAGUGAAGCGCAGGUACCAGUCUGUCUUCUAUAACUGCAAUUUCAGCAGCAAAGGAUGCCCAAAGCUGAGUAUCAGGCUCCAAUAAUGCUGUAUCAGGUGUGGCUGAGAUGAAGUUCAUUUCUCCACAGCAGUCCUCACAGUGCUGUGCUUUGCAUUGGUAGCUAGAAAGGUGUUGCUAGCACCCCAGUUUUUUGGCUACUGCUGAGCAGUGUUGGCACAGCAUCAGUGCUGUCUCUCCAACAAUUCUACCCCAUCAUCACUAGGCUGGGGCUCGCAAGAUCUUGGGGGGAGAUGCAACCAGAACAGCUGACCCAAAUUGGCCCGAGGGAUUUUUCAUACUGUAUGACAUCAGCUGACAUAUAAAAGCUAAGUAAAGGAGGAGGAAGGGGAGGCAUUUGUUAUUUACAAUGUUUGCCUUCUGUAGUAACUGCUAAGCUUGCUGAAGGAAGCCCUGCUUCCCAGGAAGUGGCCAGACAGCGCUUGUUGGUGGGAACUAGACAAUAUUUUUUUUUCCACGUCUGCUUGUUUGCACACAAACUUUCACUUUUGCUUUAGUAAACUGCCUUAUCUCAACCUGUGAGUUGUUUUCCAUUAUAUUUUCUCUUUCCUGUCCAACUGAGAAGGGGGAGUGAUAAAGUUGCUCAGUGGAUACCUGGCAUCCAGCCAAGGUCAACGCACCACAGAUGUUUUUGAUGGUGUCCAGGUGUUGCAGAACAGUCAGAGAUCAUUUUGACAGAUCUGAUCAAGUAGCUCAUUUAUUGAGUUCUGGUCCUACUUGUUGAGCAUUUGCCUGGACCAAAUUUCAUAUAGUUCAAACAGGAGAAGCACAUCUGUGACACCAGUUUUCUCCUAGCAGUGACCCCAGAGCUCUGAAGGCGAUAGUCAAGGACAUGGAGGCCCAGGGGGUGUUCUCAUCAGUUCCGCCACUGAGAGGAAAGGACAAGAGGAAGAGGGCACUGAUAAUGUGCAUCAAUAAUUGGCUGCAGAGCUGGUGCUGGCAACAGGGUUUUGGGUUCUAUGAGCAUGGGACCCUGUUUGUGGAUCAGCAUCUGCUUGGGAGAGAGGGGCUCCUCCUCACUAAGCAAGGCAAAGGUGUUUUUGCCAGAAGGAUAUCUGACCUCAUUAGGAGGGCUUUAAGAACGAGGACAAGGGCAGGGAGAGGAAGAGAGUAACCAGCCGCCCUGUGAGGGAGUGACAGACCGGGUCAAUGAGCAAAGGGCAGGGCAAGAGCUUUAGUACCUUGAAGUCCCCCCUUAGGGCCCAAAGCAGCAGUCAAUGUCAUAGUUGCAAGCCUACCCAGUGGGAAGAUCUCCUUAAGACAAGUAAGUGUGUUAAGAGGAGCUUGACAGGCAACAUGGUGUAAGGCCCAAAAAAAUGUUGUCGACAAGACUUAAAAGGGCUUAUGGUUUUUCAUAGACUCUGAGUUAGAUGCACAGUGGAAAUACCAACAAAAUAUUCUCAAGAGGUCAAAACAACAACAAUCUUUACUGGCAACUUCAGACAAUCGGAGAACUUUGGAAAAAGUUUAAAGCAACAUUCAAUCAACAUAAAACAUUUCACAAAGCAUUAACUUAGCCCAUUUAACUUAGAAGAAGAAAGAGAAAAAAUAUAAAAAAAACCAAAUAUAGCUACCACUCCUGGUUCCAGUGGUGUUGCUGGUUGGUUGGAAACAUACCCUGUAAACCAUGCCACUGCUUUAAACAGUAUCUUAAGCCUUGAAAGGCACAUUUUUUUUGUGACAUGGUACUCCAGAAAAAAUGGAAUCAGACAUUGGGAAUAAUUUUCAAAAUAAUUUUAUAAACUCUUGGGCAAAGAAACAUGCAAUGAGUGGAUAUAUCACAUCCCUUGUCACCCACAAGUCUCUGGAAAGAUUGAGAAGUAUGAUGGACUGCUAAGGACUGUUAAGAGGGUUGGGCAAUUGGGUAUGGAAGCAUUGGGUAGCAAAUUUAGCAGAAGGCACUUCUCUGGUUAACACUAGAGGAUCUGCUAAGCACCCUGGUCCUGCCCAAACAAAACCAAUACAUAGUGCGGGAGGAGAUAAGAUCCCAGUAAGGGAAGUGUCUAGGGAAGUCAUUGUGGAUUUCUUCUCCCACUGGAAAGGCAAAGCCAUUAAUUGGGUUGUCUUUGCCCUAGGACCUAGGCAUACUUGGUAGGUAAUGCAGAAGGAUGGGAAGACCUGGUGUGCCUCAAGGAGAUUUAACCUUGGGGGGAAAAAAUAAUCUGUGGUCUAAGUUGUAUGUUGCAGGAAUGACAUGAACUGAUGAAGAAUUAAUUUUGCAAGGAGAGUGCGAUGAUGACCUGAACCGGGGCAGUGUCAAUGCCCAUUGAUCAAGUAUACUGCUUAUCCUGUCCUGACUACCCAUCCUGAUGGAAUAGAGCCAAAGUCAUGGGUCUGGAGGGGUGAAGGAUGCCCGUGAAAUUGGAAAAUAAUAUCUAUUUGUGAAUGGACGGGUGGAUAAUAGUUAAUGAAAAUGUAUGUUUGAUAUAGAGAUGGUUUAAAGAUGUAGUUUAAGUUGUAUGUGUGAGUAAGAAGGGAUUGCUGUAAUGAGAAAUAAAUACAACGGAACAGUUGGAAGAUAUAUAAAUUAUGUGGGAUCUGAGCAUGAUACAAAUGGCAUGGAAUAAGUAGUGGAGAUUGUAUUGGAUCUGACUGAGCUGGAGUUCAUUUUCUCAUAGCACCCUCACAGUGCUGUGCUUUGCAUUGGUAGCUAGAAAGGUGUUCUAACACACCAGUGUUCUGACUACUGCUGAGCAGUGCUGUCUGUUUAACAUUCCCCCUUCCUAUCAAGGGUCUGGGAGUGGGCAAGAUCCUACAAAGGGGACACAACUAGGCCAGCUGACCUAAAGUAACCAAAGGGAUAUUCCAUACCAUAUGAUGUCAGCUCAGAUAUAAAAGCUGAGUGAGGGAGGAAGAACGGUAGGCAUCUGUUAUUCUACAAUUUUGCCUUUCCGUAUCAACCACUAGGUGUGCUGAAGCCUUGCUUCCUGGGAAGUCACUGAACAUUGCUCACUAAUGGGAAGUAGAGAUUAUUUUUCUCUUUGCUUAUGUGCACGCAAACUUUUGUGCUUUUUUUCUUGCUUUAGUAAACUGCCUUCUCUCAACCUAUUGUUUUCCAUCUUAUUUUUCUCUCCUGUCUUGCUGGGGAGUGAUAGAAUGGCUUGGUGGGUACCUGGUGUCUAGCCAAGGUCAAACCACUACGUCCACUCCUUGUCAAAAAAUAUAAGCUUUAAGGAUAGGCCAGUUUUCAAUAGUUAGGCUUCCUUUCCUUUUGGAAUCCAUGACCUUAGAGGUUCAGGUAUCAUCAUAAUCCAAAAAAAAUAUACAUGUCGCAGAUGAACAUGCUUAUUACUCCCACCAUCCAGGUUUCAGAGGCAUUCCCGAGACCCAUACCCAGGGACAGAGGAAAAUGUCAGUGGGCACCAUGGGAUGAUUACAUUCAGUACAAAUUCUACUACAUGAUAGUCUAGAUUGCCUAAGGGGUGGGGGUCAAAGAUAUGCCAAAACUCAAGUCAUUCCAAACUCCUCAGCACAUUGUUUCACUCAGGGUCCUGGGUUCAGACCAAAUGCCUUUGCUACUUUACCAAACCCUUCAUUGGUUCUCAAAUCUGAAAUCUUUCUUCUCUUUUGUGAGCUUAAUGACUUAUGCCUUCUUCAUCCACAGCUUGAGAGAACUUUCCAGCUGCCACUUCAGCUCCUCUGUCAGCCCAUUUUCUCCCUCCUUCCAGUGGCCACCAACAGUUUGACAUCCCCUUUUUCUGUAUAAUUGGGCUUUACAGCUUGCUUACCUCUAAUAUGUGUGCUUCCCUUGAUAUAGUAAUUUUAUACUUUCCUCUGAGGAAGGAAGAGGUACACAAAUUUGAUUCCAUAAUAAUAUAAAAUCCUAUGUGAGUUCCCAAAACAAAAUCGUGGGAGGAAUCUUUUCCACACACUGUAACAACCUGAGAAAAAAUACAAACAUGUAAAACAUUGCUUGCAACAAACUUAUAUAGAACACAUACAAACAUAAAUAUCUCACAACUAUCAAGACAAACAUGUAAAAAAUGGAUGCAGCAAACAACAACAACAACUCUUCAGUCCUGUUGCCACUUCACCCUCUCAUGGAACACCUCUUCUCUUGGAAUAUCUGCAAGAGGAGAGAAAAAAGAAAACUCAGUCCUUCUUGGAUCAGUCUUAAAAGGAAAGAACUGUCCAUCUGCUGGUAUUUUGUGUUUUCUGCCAGAGGCAUCUGUGGCCUUUAAUUCCAGAAUGACUUCAGCAAUUUGGUUCCUUGCCUCUAGUGGCAGACAAGGCUCUAUAUUCACUAUCACCAGAAGGUGGCAGUGUAGGAGCAUUUUGCAAACCAUUGCCAGUCCUGGGAACCUGAACUUCCAUUUAUUUCCAGGAAGCCUGUUAGGAUAUUUGAAUUCAUCACCCUCCCCCAGCUCACUUCUUAGGGGCAGAGUUGAGAAUUUGUUUUCUUGGUCUUGAUCCUUAAAUUUUGCAAUAAACAACAAAAACAUGGGAGAAGGUUGACAGGACACCAGCUGUUUGUCAUGCAUUGGUUGGAAGCCAGCUGCCUCCCACACUCUCUUAGUGCUUUUAGCAAAUUUUGGAGUGGGGAGAGGGCUGGAUUCUCCCCCCUCCAACAGGUCCAAACUUUUUACACAAAAGGUCAUUCCCCGGGCAAGAGACCAGAGUUAUUUGCCAUGUGCUUUCUCCUCAGAAAACUUUGUUUCAUUCCCCCUCAUUAGUGAAAUUUCCAAAACAUUCUCUAUUUCAUUUUCUUUGGGAUGAUUGCUACUUUUCACUUGCUACAUAACCAAUUCUGUUGCAAAAUGAGAUAUCAUUACCAUGGGCUCUGCCUCCUGGUAAAGAAUUCUAUCUUUACAAGUGGGCAGAACUUGGGGUGGGUGAGGGAAGAGGGGGCUGGCUUUACUGAGUUCUCAUCCAGGGAGUGGAGGAAGGUGACAUCAUGCUCAGGGAGUCUCACCUCCCUCUCUGCCUCCUAAUUUUUUACAGGUGGGCAGAGUUUAGGGUGAUGAAGGGGGUUUGGCUGUGCUACAUCAAACUCCUUCCAAGGGCUGAGGGGGUUGACAUGCUCAUGGAAGUUCACCUCCUUGAGGUUGGAAAACCCUGGUUCAUUCUCCACACCUCACUCAUCAGUGUUAAUUUGCAAAUCAGAGCAUCUUUGGCUCUGGACAAGCUUGUUCAACUGUUUUUUCAGGUUUUAGGAUAACUUCACAUACAAUUCUGGAUCCACCCUGAGUUUACCUAUUUUUUCAGCCACCAAUGUAAUUUGCAACUCAAUUAGCUUUCUGUUGCUGCUCGGCAACAUAUUUCUCUCUUUGUGCAGCUAUGAGCCCAGCUUCCACCCAUACGGUUGCCAAACAAUUUUCCUCAUUUAAAGAUUUUUUCAAUUUCUUUACUCAAAGAUCUGAUUUUCUCUGCAACUUGUUGUGGUGAACUAUCCAAGUGUAGGGACACGAGGCUUGACUCCAUUUUUCUCAGAAGGUUGGUUUAUUAUGUUAUAUAUUAUAUUAAAAUACUACAUUAAAACUAUACUAAAAGAACAGAGAGAGAAGAAGGAUCAGAAGGUUACAAAGAACAAGAAUAGAAUAGAAUAGAAUGCAUAACAAAAUCUUGUGACUGCUCACAGCCUUGGCACAGGUGGCUGUGAUUAGUCACUAAUUGAAAACAAUCCACAUGGACCAAUGGAAGAUGCACCUGUUGCAUUCCACAGCAGCAGAUAGUUAUUGUUUACAUUUCUUUCCUGAGGCUCUCAGCUCCUCAGGACGGGAAAAAUCCUAGGAAAGGAUUUUUCAUAAAAUAUCAUGGUUACACAACUAACUGCAGAUUGUGCCAGAUUUCCUCAGGCCCACAUCUCUCUGUUUAGGGCCAGACAAGUUUUGUAAGCUUUUAGCAGCUCUAUCAGUGGAGGGAAGUCCAGAUCAAUUUUUACCCUGGUGUCGGAAAAGAUACCAAGUUUAAAAUUUUUUAUAUAACUUUAGUCAGAGGUUUUGCUUACCUUUGCUCUGGGGGAAAGGAAUUUCAAGUUUCUUUUCAGUGUACUGUUUCAUCACUCAAGGCAUGAUGAGUUUAACAUCUCAACACACUGGAAGUAGGACAGAAGAGACAAAAAAGAUAAUGACCAUUAACGACCAGCAACUCUGAACAUCACCCCUGCCAUGGUCUGAGACACUGGUCCAGAAAAGACUGAUAAGACAACCAAGGAAUGAGGACCAAAUUAGCAUUGGAGGUGAAGAAAUCUAUAACCAAUAGGAAACCAGAUACUAAGAACUGCAUAAUUUGGGACCAAUGAACAUUGAACGAAUGAAUUUCUAUGGGUUUUGACUGUAUAAAGUAUGUGAAAAAUCUAGUAAAAUUAUAUGUGAUUGAAUGAUUUUCUCUGCACGACCCCGGCAAUGUGUGGAUGAAAUUAUUUCUGUUUCACAUCCUGGCCAGAACAACAUUGUGGCCAGAAUAAAGUAAUGCCUUGAUUCUCUAACACUAAAAAUGUUGUUGGAGAGUUUUUGUUUUUCCCACAGUUUCAAUCACGCUGGUUUCCAUGACCUUUCUGCCAGAAAAUAUUGUUUUCGCCCAAAAUUAAGUUUCUCCCUUAUUCUGCCACUAGCAGUUUUCUCUGUAUAAAACACCUCCUCAUCACCUCAAGGUACCCUGCUUGCUGUGCUAAUAAAAUGCAAGGUCCCAAAACCCACUCAAUGAGACACUUAAAAGGCUUUACUUUUUUACGUACCCUGAGUUAGACACAGCAGAAAUACCAACAAGAUAUUCUCAAGUGGUCAAGACAACAAACACUUUAGUAAGAACUUCAGAAAAUCAGAGAACUUUGACAGAAGUUUAAAGCAACAUCCUAUUAACAUAAAACAUUUCACAAAGCAUUAACUUAGCCCAUUCAACUUAGCAAACUCCAAGCCCAUCCAAUUUUGAGUUACUCAAAACUGUGAGAAGAGGUAAUUAGAACAAGAAGAAGAAAGAGAAAGAUAGAAAAUAUAUAGAAAAGAACAAAUUUAGCUACCACCCCUGCUUCCAGCAGUGUCUCAGCUGAUAGAAAUUUGAAGAGGAGGUAGGGUCAAGACGUGCUUGCUUCAUGUCCUUGCUUAACUAUCUGUAUUGGGGUUCAUUAUCUCAUAGGACCCUCCCAGUGCUGUGCUUUGCAUUGGUAGCUUGAAGGGUGUUAACACACUAGUGUUUUGGCUACUGCUGAGCAGCAUUAGCACAGUAUCAGAGCUGUCUCUCUGACGUUGCCUCCCAUCAAGGGUCUGGGAAUGGGCAAGAUCCUGGGAGGGGACACAACCAGGCCAGCUGACCCAAAUUAACCAAAGGGGUGUUCCAUACCAUGUGGUGUCAGCUCAGUUAUAAAGGUAAGUGAGGGAAGAAGAAUGGGGGUAUUUGUUAUUUUAUAAUGUUUGCCUUCCUGGAGCAACUGCUAUGCGUGGUGAAGCCCUGCUUCCUGGGAAGUAUCUGAACACCACUUGCCAAUGGAACUGCGUUGUCCAGCCCAAGCAGAGAAAGAAGACAACAUGAAUAUGUGCAACCAUGAAAAGAACAAGAGUCUGCCUCAGGCUGAAUAAAGUGUAUAAAAACUGCCCAGACCAGAAAGCUUGCGUGAACAGAGGGGGAUCCGAUGCGGUAGAGAUUGACUCCGUGUUCACCCAGUGCCAAACCCGAGCUCGGAGCUGUCCCUUUUGAUUGUGGCUGUCGGAGACUGUAUCUCGGUCACGAAAUAAAAUCUAUAUUUACAAAUUA
Long non-coding RNA from Passer domesticus (house sparrow), 10012 nucleotides. RefSeq lists it as uncharacterized. The transcript is spliced from 2 exons. Lineage: Eukaryota; Metazoa; Chordata; Aves; Passeriformes; Passeridae. The record is from RefSeq and is a predicted model, not a curated record.